GAAAAAUCUAGAGGUUGCGAUAGUCAAGACUUUUUACUGAGUUUGAGGAAACGAUGACGUAAAAAUGAGGGGAUAUCGCCGAAACAAUAUUAGCAUCCUUAUCUAAUGUUGUUGGGGUUAUAGUGAAUAACUAUAACACUGUCUCAGUUGAACACUGAGUUGCGCUAGAGUUUUA
RNAcentral lists this non-coding RNA (175 nucleotides) under Vagococcus penaei. Its description in RNAcentral is "Lysine sequence". It matches the Rfam family "Lysine riboswitch aptamer". From Rfam's summary of the family: Riboswitches are metabolite binding domains within certain messenger RNAs that serve as precision sensors for their corresponding targets. Allosteric rearrangement of mRNA structure is mediated by ligand binding, and this results in modulation of gene expression. Lineage: Bacteria; Bacillati; Bacillota; Bacilli; Lactobacillales; Enterococcaceae. The record is from Rfam by way of RNAcentral.